Pseudophryne corroboree (corroboree frog) is the source of this 990-nucleotide long non-coding RNA. RefSeq lists it as uncharacterized. The transcript is spliced from 3 exons. NCBI's taxonomy places the organism in Eukaryota, Metazoa, Chordata, Amphibia, Anura, Myobatrachidae. The record is from RefSeq and is a predicted model, not a curated record.
AGUGCUCAGACAGAGCGCUAACAGCGCUGCUGCGGCUGCCGGCUAUGGGACUCGGGAGAAGGGACCCACACCCGGACACCAGAAAGGUAUGGGUGGUGGCGGUGGGAGGUCUACCUGUGAGAUUCUGGCUACUGGUUUGUGGAAGGAUCAUUAACCAUUUCCAUGUUUCCUGGACACCAGCAUCAGUCAGUGUCCCCAAUCCUGCUCAGAAAACUCUACUUCACUGUGACAGUGGAGAAAGGAGAGAAUCUGGUACAGUCCUGGGCUGAUUGUUUCACUGACACUCUAUUUUCACUUAAUUAAAUUAAUCUGGGAUGGAUCUGUAUACGCAAGUAACCCACGACUGACGGCACCUGAAGGACAAUGCAACUGGAACCAUUUAUUUUUCUUAUACAGUUACUAUUCUGUUCUGUUUAUUAGGAUGACUUACUCCAGUUGCUCACGUGCAUACAUCUUAAUUAACAGAGGUAGAUAAAGGGAUUUAGAAUUCGAAAUUUGCCAGAAGUUUCAAGAUUUCCAUACGUGAAGCAAUUCUAAUCCAGAUUUGGCAACAAUUUGGCAAAUAAUGAAUGACAACUGGAGAAUUGAGCCAAUCACAUUGCAGAGAGUGCGAAGAAGCUACAUUUAAUUGGUGCAAGGAACAGGAAUGUUAUGGGUGUAAUAGAUAGAUAGAUAGAUAGAUAGAUAGAUAGAUAGACAGACAGAUACACACACACAAGAGUAUUUAAUUUAUAUGUACUAGUUACAAACCCAUCAAAAUGACGGCACAACAUAACAGUAAUGUCCGCACCGGCGGCUGUGCGCGCCGGAGUGGAGCAACACUUGAAUUGCUCCAUCGGGCGCCACCUAGUGGACAUCAGCGCGCAAAACACUUGAACUCCCCCAUAGAGGUGAGGAGCAGCAUUAGCCUUUUAUAUGUAUGUAUAAAUAUAGGUUUUACAUUUGUAUAAUAUAUAUAUAUAAUCUAUCUACACACACUGCUCAAAAAAA